AGGCUGACCGCAUGGGCGGAAAUGUAUCCGGAGAAUCCGUCGAGGCAUCCAACUUUGUGCCGGUCUGCCACGCUGGACUGAGCAUUAUUGCAGGUGAAUGUGCCCACUGCGCCGACAUGAACGUUGCAGCAGGAGAUGGGCAGGUCGCCGUUAGGGAAGGCGGUGAUCCAGUCGUUGUAUGAGGUCACACCACAGCACUCGAACUCAUCCUGGAUGUCAUCCCAGAGUUUCGUGGUCGCAUUUGGAUUGAUACUGUUAUACUCGUUCAGCGAGUAAGUCAGAGAAGUUUUGAUCAAAUCGGAGGCGUCAUUGCGCAGCACAUAGCCACUGAUGCCAGCAGCCAGCUCCAGGAUGAAGAUGAUGGCCAGCAUGACCGAGAAGCUGAGCACCAGGCAAUAGUUCUCCUUCAGGGCACCCCAGCAACCAAAGAAAGAGAUUAUGAUGAUGAACGAUCCAAUCACGAUCAGGAACGUGGGGAUCGAGAAGAACUUUCCGGCCAGGAAGAGCUUAUAGCCCGUAUAGACGGCGCCAACUCCGCGUAUACUUCACAGCAUUGGCGCUGCCCGUUAGAAGCGACAUCUUGUUUGUUUUAGUUUAUGCGCUGUAAGAUCAAUAGUAAUAUUAAUAAAAGGCUUUUGACCAAUACGAGAUAUGCUCUUUUUACGGGCCGAAAAUAAAACACAACCGACGCAAAUCGAUUCCGAAAGUUAAAUACGCUGCAGUCGAAACUAAGACACCAAGGAAGGUUUCACUCCCUAUCAACAAAGGCCAAU
This is a non-coding RNA of Drosophila melanogaster (fruit fly), 773 nucleotides long. NCBI's taxonomy places the organism in Eukaryota, Metazoa, Arthropoda, Insecta, Diptera, Drosophilidae. The record is from Ensembl.